Sphaeramia orbicularis (orbiculate cardinalfish) is the source of this 173-nucleotide long non-coding RNA. RefSeq lists it as uncharacterized. The transcript has 3 exons. The record is from RefSeq and is a predicted model, not a curated record. NCBI's taxonomy places the organism in Eukaryota, Metazoa, Chordata, Actinopteri, Kurtiformes, Apogonidae.
GUUUGAGUUAUUGUCAUCUAAAGUGACCAGGACUCAAGCGCCUAAUUUGCAUAUUCAUAAAAUCACUUCUAUCUUGAAAACUAAGACAGAUAUCGACUAACUUUGUAUUAUCAACUUAUAGGAAGUCGGAUAUGGUCUUUCAUUUGAUACCAGCUUUUUUUUAUAUACCUUGG